AAAAGGGACAAGUGGAAUGCUUACAUAGUUUUUAUUUUUUUAUACAUGGAAGUUUUUCUUUUUUUUUAUACAUGGAAGCUCCAUGGACCAGAAUAAUAUUGUGGGUAACACAGUAAGGAGCAGCCCUCCCCUUUGAAUAAUAUUCACCAAAUUGGUGAUAACUUUUAUGGUGAAGAUGACUCGAACUCGAGAUUUCUUACUCUCUACAUCUUCUACAAGAGGUAGGAAGACCAACCAGACCAC
This 243-nucleotide long non-coding RNA is filed under the name Jatropha curcas. RNAcentral describes it as "long non-coding RNA (JCUR_LNC002640)". Lineage: Eukaryota; Viridiplantae; Streptophyta; Magnoliopsida; Malpighiales; Euphorbiaceae. The record is from RNAcentral.